Molecule: long non-coding RNA, 204 nt
Filed under: Capsicum annuum
Lineage: Eukaryota; Viridiplantae; Streptophyta; Magnoliopsida; Solanales; Solanaceae
Description: long non-coding RNA (CANN_LNC015887)
Source: RNAcentral
UUUCAAGUCAUUUUCAGAUUUCCUAUUUAUUUUCAUCGUUAGAUCUUUCUUAUAGUUUCCCCAAGUAAUUUAUGACUUAUUGAAACUGAUAUUUUGGUUACCUGGUGGUUUGUUUGUUUGUUAGAACUAUUUCCCUUCUUGAAAGUCUUCAUUCAUUCUAAAUGGUCAUCGAGAAAAUACUUUAGUAAAACAAUAUUGGAUGGA